UUGCUAACGUCACUCUUCGUCAGCCGUCGGCGACUCCGGGGUCUAUCAUUACUUUCCACGGAAGAUUCGACAUUUUAUCGAUUUCGGCUACGUUUUUGCCUCACGCGGUGCCGUAUCCAGUGCCCAACACUUUUGCUAUCUCUCUGGCGGGUCCUCAGGGCCAGAUCGUUGGGGGCUUAGUUGCUGGCAGCUUGGUUGCAGCUGGUACUGUGUACGUCAUCGCUGCGACGUUCGAUAACCCGAUUUAUCACCGGUUACCGGUUGAAGACGAAGGGAGAAAUUCUGGGUCUGGCGGUGGCGGCGAGGGUCACUCCCCGUCGGUGUCUGGUGCUGGUGGAGGCGGAGGAGACAGUGGACACACGCAAGGUGGAGGGGAGUCUUGUGGAAUGGUUAUGUACAGUUGUCAUUUGCCCUCGGAUAUUAUCUGGGCACCCACUGCCAGGCCACCACCGCCUCCACCGCCCUACUAAAGUUUACUGUGAAAAUUAGAUCCUCUUUUUUCUUGAAAAAAAAAAAAAUACUUUAGGCUUGGCUUUCGAUUAUCGUAAUCUUCUUCAUCACCUCUGUUUAAUUUUGAGUUCAAAUGUGACGUGGUAAUGAUUUUAGUUUGGAGUAACAGUGUAG
Molecule: unclassified non-coding RNA, 624 nt
Filed under: Hevea brasiliensis (rubber tree)
Lineage: Eukaryota; Viridiplantae; Streptophyta; Magnoliopsida; Malpighiales; Euphorbiaceae
Source: RNAcentral